Molecule: ribosomal RNA, 460 nt
Filed under: uncultured bacterium
Lineage: Bacteria
Description: partial 16S ribosomal RNA
Rfam family: Bacterial small subunit ribosomal RNA
Source: RNAcentral
CCUACGGGAGGCAGCAGUGAGGAAUAUUGGUCAAUGGACGCAAGUCUGAACCAGCCAUGCCGCGUGCAGGAAGACGGCUCUAUGAGUUGUAAACUGCUUUUGUACGAGGGUAAACUCCGAUACGCGUAUCUUUCUGAACGUAUCGUACGAAUAAGGAUCGGCUAACUCCGUGCCAGCAGCCGCGGUAAUACGGAGGGUUCAAGCGUUAUCCGGAUUUAUUGGGUUUAAAGGGUGCGUAGGCGGUCGGAUAAGUUAGAGGUGAAAUCCCGAGGCUCAACCUCGGAAUUGCCGCUGAUACUGUUGGGCUAGAGAGUAGGUGCGGUAGGCGGAAUGUAUGGUGUAGCGGUGAAAUGCUUAGAGAUCAUACAGAACACCGAUUGCGAAGGCAGCUUACCAAGGUACGACUGACGCUGAGGCACGAAAGCGUGGGGAGCAAACAGGAUUAGAUACCCUUGUAGUC